AAUAAUAUAUACAACUUAAUCUUAUUUAUUUUAAAAUAUUUACAAAAGGAGUGUAAACUAGGGAGAGGAGACAUUUGACGGAGGUUGGACGGGGGACUUCAGCGGGUAUAUAAUUGUGCAGAGAAGAUUGCAUUAAGGGACAACUAAAGAAUAAAUGAUCCAUGUUUCCCUCAUCAAGGCUACAAUCACAUAGAGAAUGAUCCCUAAUUCUAAGUUUUGCUAGAAAGACUGGAGUGCAGGCAUGGUUUAAACGGUAGAGCACAAGUCAGGAGUGAAUAUUUCUGAAUACUGAAAGGAACCUGAAUGAGCAGCUGAUCUAGCACAGGCAUCUGCAUUUUCAUUACCAGAGAUGCCCAUGUGACCUGGAAUCCAAGCUAAAACUAUGUUAAUUUUGAGUUCAUAGCACUCUUUCAAAGUUUCUCUUAUUUUGAGAAUGAUGGGAAACUGACUUUUGUCUUAAACGGAUUUGAGAGAAUUGAUUGGAGGCAACUUUUAGAGUCUGAAAGGAUAAUAGAAUUGUUCAUGUUGUGAGACUUAACAAAUAGAAUAGCUUCAAGAAUGGCGAUUAAUUCCCCUGUAAACACAGAAGUGGUAGGUGGGCAGCUAUAACUCAGUAUAAUUCUUGUUGAAGGAAUCCAUACUGCAGCCCCAACCGGACUCAUGUCUGUUUUUGAGGCAUCCGUGUAGAUUUUAUACCAAUGUCGAAAAUCUGAGUCCAUUAUUUGAGAAAAAGUUUUAUUUGCUUCUAUAGAAAACUUAUCAACACCUAAGUCUAAAAUUACUGAGGGUUGGAAAGUAAGAGCAUUGAAAGGCAUAGAAAAUAAAGGCAAUUUAGAAUAUUGAAAGAGAGGGUUAGAGAGCUGAGAAAAUAAAAGAAACUUUUGCAAGAGCAGAAGAGAGGGCAAUUGGCCUAUAGCUGGUAGCUUCAGAUGGAUUCUGACCAGGUUUAAGUAAUGGAAUAAUUACCUGAUUUUUCCAAGGUGGAGGGAUGGAACCAAGAUCAAAAAGGUUAUUGAUUAUGCUAAGAUAAUAUUCCUUGGAUGUACAUGAUGAAUUUUUAAUGAAAGAGUAUGGGAUUCCAUCUACCCCAGGAGCAGAGUCAACUAGGCCAUCCAGAGCAAGAAGAAGUUCAGAGAAUGAGAAGGGGGACUCUAAACUGUGAGUUGAGGCAAGAGGGAUUGGGGGGAUGGAAAAUAAUCCAUAUUUGGAACUGAAGGGG
Leptidea sinapis is the source of this 1219-nucleotide long non-coding RNA. RefSeq lists it as uncharacterized. The record is from RefSeq and is a predicted model, not a curated record. NCBI's taxonomy places the organism in Eukaryota, Metazoa, Arthropoda, Insecta, Lepidoptera, Pieridae. The transcript has 3 exons.